This is a long non-coding RNA of Strigops habroptila (Kakapo), 2190 nucleotides long. NCBI's taxonomy places the organism in Eukaryota, Metazoa, Chordata, Aves, Psittaciformes, Psittacidae. The record is from Ensembl.
AUGUUUAUUAGUAGGAAAGAACAUUUAGGGGAUUUCAGUAGGAGAAUUGGUUUGAACCAUUGGUAUCCACCAUACAUUGGUUUUCAUCAAGAUUGUUCAAGGUUACAUAUUUAUAUAAGAAAACAAAAAUUCAUAUUUAGGUGCAAUUAGUAAUUCCAGUAUGAAAAAGCACCAUGUCACAAAACAGUUUACAAUACAAAAGUCUUCAAAAUCUAACAUUUAAAACAAUAUUUGUUCAACAGUAAUAACAAUACAGUAAAAAAAUUCUUAUUUCCCUUCAAACAAUACUGCUUAUAUAUUUUGGCACUGAAAAAGAAACUACCACAAACUCACCUUUUUAACCACACAACGCUGUUUUGUGAGUGUCUAUAUACAAGGAAAAACAUGCUUUUGAAGUCAGUCAUUUUGCCAGGUGCAGUUUGAACUGCUUUCUCCUUUAAAAAGAAAACGUCUUAAAGAAGUGAACUUCCUAAGCUGCAGCUUGUCUUGUCUUUUGGCCCAGGACAUGAUCUGGAGAAGCGCCUCUCUCUGACUCAAUCCAUUGAGUGAGUCAGCCCUGCCCGAAAGGCUGGAUCUGAGCCCCUCUUCCUUCUCCAAAUCUGACAAGAAGUGUAGAUCUGAGCGCCCCGAAUGGUCCUGUCUUUUAGGGACUGACCCCAAGUUCUCACUAUGUAUUAAGCAUCCCAAUAUGAUUCUGACCCCAGAUGUGCUGCUCAGGUUCUUUAAUUGCUUAAUUCCUCAAGAUUUUAGUUAAUUAAUUUUAGUCACCUGCACAAAUAGUCUUCAAAUUGAACAUGCAGUCCUUGGUGCUACCGCUAAAAGCUGAACAAUAAAAAGAAAACAAAUCAUUUAAAAUAGUUUUUACAUCUUACACUAAAGAUGCCACUACAAAAACACAAUAGUUUCACACAGUAACUAGUACGGUCUUAAAAAUGCAAACCAACGCUGGUAAGACUUCCAUACAUUCUGCAUAUCAUAUGUACAGAGAGAACAGCUUCUCAACAGGAGAGGACAGUCACAGAGAGAUAAUCUUUUUUUUUUCUGAGUACGUUGCAUAAUAUAAAUACAUUAUCAGCAUAAGAAAACUUUACUCAGACACUAAGAGUUCAAGGAAGGUCUUAACUGGAAGUUAAUAGCAGGGGGACCGUUGCGCGUGCUGGGGGGCACAAAACACAUACACAACCCGUUGCCAAGUUCUCCACCUCCUCUGGUGGCCUGAUCAUCUACUCCCAUUUUACCAGGUAGGUUUAACAUGUCGCUCUGCAGUUACAUGCUCCCAAAGAAUGCAGCAAGAGCUGCCCUCAGUCUUCCUGACUAGAGUCUAAUCUUCCUGACUAGAGUCUUUUCCAUGGGCUUUGCCUGACUGAGAACUGGCUGGAGACUCAGAGUAUCACCAGAUUUGCUCACAACAGAACCUGGAGGGGAUGGAAUUAACACAUCACAAUAGCUAUAGGCAGCUACACGCAGGACACUAGCAAUUGUAGACAGCCAUAAGAAAAAUAUGAGGACUAAAUUAAUUUAAUUCAUAGUCAUCCCUCUCCUUUCAGAGUCAUAAAAGUCUUCCUUAGAAUAUGUAGGUUUGCUCACAAAGCAUUCAUCUAAAGAGGUAUCUGGUUUUACCAAGACACAGAAUGUGCUGAACUCCAUGCUGCUGCAGUUAGUCUGCCCAUGGUAGCUUAUCGAAGGUUAGAUCUGGUAUCUCUACUGUACACUGCAAUGUAGAAACAGCCUGAGGGAACAGAGAUAAAGCUCUCCCUGUGGAACGGUCAUGGACUUAAGCAGGAACAGGACAGUUGGAUCCAUUUGGCCUUUCGCCAUGGCUUAUCUCAAUUUAUUAGUCUCUACAGCAUCAAAAUAUCUGACCAAAUUUACACAAACAAAUUGUCGUGGUUUAAUCCCAGCUGGUGCUAAGCCCCACACAGCUGCUCGCUCACUCCUCAUGGUGGGAUGGGGGAGAGGACUGGAAGGGUAAAAGUGAGAAAACUCAUGCUUUGAGAUAAAAACAGUUCAAUAGGUAAAGCAAAAGCUGCCCACAGAAGCAAAGCAAAACAAGGAAUUCAUUCACCACUUCCCAUGGUCAGGCAGGUGUUCAGCCAUCUCCAGGAACGCUGGGCUCCGUCACACGUAACGGCUACUUGGGAAGACAAACACCAUCACUCUGAACAUCCCCCCUUCCUUCUUCUUCCCCCC